AUGCACCUAUGUACACCGCAGUUCCUGCGCGCUGUCCGCACCCACCCGACAGCGACUCGCGACGUUUUGUCAACC
Molecule: small RNA, 75 nt
Filed under: Xanthomonas albilineans
Lineage: Bacteria; Pseudomonadati; Pseudomonadota; Gammaproteobacteria; Lysobacterales; Lysobacteraceae
Also listed under: 1 other name
Description: sX9 sRNA
Rfam family: Xanthomonas sRNA sX9
Source: RNAcentral